GACGAACGCUGGCGGCGUGCCUAAUACAUGCAAGUAGAACGCUGAAGGAGGAGCUUGCUUCUCUGGAUGAGUUGCGAACGGGUGAGUAACGCGUAGGUAACCUGCCUGGUAGCGGGGGAUAACUAUUGGAAACGAUAGCUAAUACCGCAUAAUAGCAGUUGUUGCAUGACAACUGUUUGAAAGGUGCAAUUGCACCACUACCAGAUGGACCUGCGUUGUAUUAGCUAGUUGGUGGGGUAACGGCUCACCAAGGCGACGAUACAUAGCCGACCUGAGAGGGGGGUCGGCCACACUGGGACUGGGACACGGCCCAGGCUCCUACGGGAGGCAGCAGUAGGGAAUCUUCGGCAAUGGACUGAAGACUGACCGAGCAACGCCGCGUGAGUGAAGAAGGUUUUCGGCGCGUAAAGCUCUGUUGUAAGGGAAGAACGAGUGUGAGAGUGGAAAGUUCACACUGUGACGGUAUCUUACCAGAAAGGGACGGCUAACUACGUG
This 495-nucleotide ribosomal RNA is filed under the name uncultured bacterium. RNAcentral describes it as "partial 16S ribosomal RNA". It matches the Rfam family "Bacterial small subunit ribosomal RNA", at positions 28 to 507 of the family's 1533-position model. The record is from RNAcentral.